RNAcentral lists this ribosomal RNA (200 nucleotides) under uncultured bacterium. Its description in RNAcentral is "partial 16S ribosomal RNA". The record is from RNAcentral.
GGUCUGUGUGUGUGCGCCGCCACGCGCCGGAAUAACGCGGGGCGCGGCGGGCGAAGCGUGAGGAUUGCGGCCCUUUUGUUUCUAUCCUUCUUUUGAUAUGGGAUAAACCUAGAUACCUGUAUCUAUUUUAAGGUACUAUUCGAAUUUUCACCGGCUACCUCCGUGCCUUCUUCUCUAUUAUUCAUUUAAUUUUCUCUUUC